RNAcentral lists this long non-coding RNA (274 nucleotides) under Arabidopsis thaliana (thale cress). Its description in RNAcentral is "ncRNA (AT2G08195)". Lineage: Eukaryota; Viridiplantae; Streptophyta; Magnoliopsida; Brassicales; Brassicaceae. The record is from RNAcentral.
AUGACCACUACAGCUUCCCUUCCCACCGGUCCAAAGAUCUCUCCUGCGAUAGACAUUAGCCAAAUGGAUGACAGAUCCAGACCGUAGCCCACCUAAGACAGAAGACCACUUCCAAGAAAGUGACUGCAUGGGCCUUGAUUAGAUACAUCUCCACAGUAUUGUUAUAUGAUGUUUGUCUGAGCCAAGCCAUUGGUCUCAUGAUAUUUUUAAUUGCUUAAAUCUUGUUUUGCCUAUUGCUUUUUUACUAUUUACUUUUCUUAUUGCUAUAUUCUUG